CUGGUUGAUCCUGCCAGUAGUCAUAUGCUUGUCUUAAAGAUUAAGCCAUGCAUGUGUAAGUAUAAAUAGUAUACAGUGAAACUGCGAAUGGCUCAUUAAAACAGUUAUAGUUUACUUGGUGGUUAAUUUUACUUGGAUAACUGUAGUAAUUCUAGAGCUAAUACAUGCAUAAAGCUCCGACUUCGCGGAAGGAGUGUAAUUAUUAGCUUACAAACCAGUGCGGUAACCCCGCUUCUUGGUGAAUCGAAGUAAUCCAAUUUUUCUUUUCUGAUCGUAUGGUCUCUUGGCCUUGAUAGAUCAUUCAAAUUUCUGCCCUAUCAACUUUUGAUGGUAGUGUAUUGGACUACCAUGGUUAUAACGGGUAACGGAGGAUUAGGGUUUGAUUCCGGAGAGGGAGCCUGAGAAACGGCUACCACAUCCAAGGAAGGCAGCAGGCGCGCAAAUUACCCAAUCUCGACACGAGGAGGUAGUGACAAUAAAUAACAAUGCAGGGGCUUUUUAAGUCUUGCAAUUGGAAUGAGUACAAUUUAAAAUCCUUAACGAGGAACAAUUGGAGGGCAAGUCUGGUGCCAGCAGCCGCGGUAAUUCCAGCUCCAAUAGCGUAUAUUUAUGUUGUUGCAGUUGAAACGCUCGUAGUUGGAUUUCAGGAUGGGCUGGGCGGUCAGCUUAUCGGCUUGUACUGUCUGGCUGGGCCUUACUUCUUGGUGAGCUGGUGUGUCCUUUAUUGGGUGCGCUGGUGAACCAGGACCUUUACCUUGAGAAAAUUAGAGUGUUCAAAGCAGGCUUAUGCCCGAAUACAUUAGCAUGGAAUAAUAAAAUAGGACGUGCGGUUCUAUUUUGUUGGUUCCUAGAGUCGCCGUAAUGAUUAAUAGGGAUAGUUGGGGGCAUUGGUAUUGAGUCGCUAGAGGUGAAAUUCUUGGAUUGACUCAAGACCAACUAUUGCGAAAGCAUUUGCCAAGGAUGUUUUCAUUAAUCAAGAACGAAGGUUAGGGGAUCGAAAACGAUUAGAUACCGUUGUAGUCUUAACAGUAAACUAUGCCGACUAGGGAUCGGAUGACCUCAAUUAUUAUGUGUCAUUCGGCACCUUACGAGAAAACAAAGUCUUUGGGUUCCGGGGGGAGUAUGGUCGCAAGGUUGAAACUUAAAGGAAUUGACGGAAGGGCACACCAGAGGUGGAGCCUGCGGUUUAAUUUGACACAACACGGGGAAACUCACCAGGUCCAGACAUGAGAAGGAUUGACAGUUUGAAAGCACUUUCUUGAUUUCAUGGGUGGUGGUGCAUGGCCGUUCUUAGUUGGUGGAGUGAUUUGUCUGGUUGAUUCCGAUAACGAACGAGACUCUCAGAGUAAACUGGCGCGGUCGUAAUUCACGUUACUUCUUCCCGCCUCUUUUCUCGACAAUUCGUUUUAAACGAAAGGAAGCGGAGAGCAAUAACAGGUCUGUGAUGCCCCUCGAUGUUCUGGGCCACACGCGCGCUACAAUGACGAGUUCAACGAGUUUUUUUCUCCUUGCCCGGAAGGGUGUGGGUAAUCUUUUCAAUGCUCGUCGUGAUGGGGAUAGAUUUUUGCAAUUAUUAAUCUUCAACGAGGAAUCUCUAGUAUGUGCAGUUCAUCAGACUGCGCAGAAUGCGUCCCUGCCCUUUGUACACACCGCCCGUCGCACCUACCGAUUGGACGAUCCGGCAAGAUGUUUGGAGUUUAGCCUGUCGAAGCUUUCGGGCCUCUUCAAGCCAGACGAAGCUCCUCAAACCUUAUCGUCUAGAGGAAGGUGAAGUCGUAACAAGGUCUCUGUAGGUGAACCUGCA
Molecule: ribosomal RNA, 1804 nt
Filed under: uncultured eukaryote
Lineage: Eukaryota
Description: partial small subunit ribosomal RNA
Rfam family: Eukaryotic small subunit ribosomal RNA
Source: RNAcentral